Molecule: non-coding RNA, 42 nt
Filed under: Nicotiana benthamiana
Lineage: Eukaryota; Viridiplantae; Streptophyta; Magnoliopsida; Solanales; Solanaceae
Source: RNAcentral
UCUUGACCUUGUAAGGCCUUUUAUUGGCCUUGUAAGACCUGA